GACGAACGCUGGCGGCGUGCUUAACACAUGCAAGUCGAACGAAGAGCGCUGGAAUCUUGCUUCUAUCAAUCUUAGUGGCGAACGGGUGAGUAACGCGUAAUCAACCUGCCCUUCAGAGGGGGACAACAGUUGGAAACGACUGCUAAUACCGCAUACGAUCUAAUCUCGGCAUCGAGGAUAGAUGUAAGGUGGCCUCUACAUGUAAGCUAUCACUGAAGGAGGGGCUUGCGUCUGAUUAGCUAGUUGGAGGGGUAACGGCGCACCAAGGCGAGGAUCAGUAGCCGGUCUGCGAGGAUGAGCGGCCACAUUGGGACUGAGACACGGCCCAGACUCCUACGGGAGGCAGCAGGGGGGAAUCUUCCGCAAUGGACGAAAGUCUGACGGAGCAACGCCGCGUGAGUGAUGACGGCCGUCGGGUUGUAAAGCUCUGUUAAUCGGGACGAAAGGCCUUCUUGCGAAUAGUGAGAAGGAUUGACGGUACCGGAAUAGAAAGCCACGGCUAACUACGUG
RNAcentral lists this ribosomal RNA (510 nucleotides) under uncultured bacterium. RNAcentral describes it as "partial 16S ribosomal RNA". It matches the Rfam family "Bacterial small subunit ribosomal RNA", at positions 28 to 507 of the family's 1533-position model. The record is from RNAcentral.